This 837-nucleotide ribosomal RNA is filed under the name uncultured bacterium. RNAcentral's name for it is "bacterial SSU rRNA". It matches the Rfam family "Bacterial small subunit ribosomal RNA", at positions 54 to 890 of the family's 1533-position model. The record is from RNAcentral.
CAUGCAAGUCGAACGAGAAUCUACUGAAAGAGUUCUCGGACAAUGGAUGUAGAGGAAAGUGGCGGACGGGUGAGUAACGCGUGAGGAACCUGCCUUGAAGAGGGGGACAACAGUUGGAAACGACUGCUAAUACCGCAUGACGCAUAGAGGUCGCAUGAUCUUUAUGCCAAAGAUUUAUCGCUUCAAGAUGGCCUCGCGUCUGAUUAGCUAGUUGGCGGGGUAACGGCCCACCAAGGCGACGAUCAGUAGCCGGACUGAGAGGUUGAACGGCCACAUUGGGACUGAGAUACGGCCCAGACUCCUACGGGAGGCAGCAGUGGGGAAUAUUGGGCAAUGGGCGCAAGCCUGACCCAGCAACGCCGCGUGAAGGAAGAAGGCUUUCGGGUUGUAAACUUCUUUUAAGAGGGAAGAGCAGAAGACGGUACCUCUAGAAUAAGCCACGGCUAACUACGUGCCAGCAGCCGCGGUAAUACGUAGGUGGCAAGCGUUGUCCGGAUUUACUGGGUGUAAAGGGCGUGCAGCCGGGUCUGCAAGUCAGAUGUGAAAUCCAUGGGCUCAACCCAUGAACUGCAUUUGAAACUGUAGAUCUUGAGUGUCGGAGGGGCAAUCGGAAUUCCUAGUGUAGCGGUGAAAUGCGUAGAUAUUAGGAGGAACACCAGUGGCGAAGGCGGAUUGCUGGACGAUAACUGACGGUGAGGCGCGAAAGUGUGGGGAGCAAACAGGAUUAGAUACCCUGGUAGUCCACACUGUAAACGAUGAAUACUAGGUGUGCGGGGACUGACCCCUUGCGUGCCGCAGUAAACACAAUAAGUAUUCCACCUGGGGAGUACGAUCGCA